Long non-coding RNA from Mustela lutreola (European mink), 1944 nucleotides. RefSeq lists it as uncharacterized. The record is from RefSeq and is a predicted model, not a curated record. The transcript has 4 exons. Lineage: Eukaryota; Metazoa; Chordata; Mammalia; Carnivora; Mustelidae.
GAAAUGCCGUAAGUUGGAAGAUGAAACUAUGCACGAUGUGCUCUGGGAGCAAGGCAGAGGGCCAUCUGCGCCAACUGGGAAAUCUGAAACACUUUCCGGAAGAGAAGACACGUUAACUAAACUGUGAGGGACAAAAAGGAACUAGCCAGGGAGGUAAAAGGAAGAGACACCACAGAAGGAACUCGUGAACGUAAACAAAGGCCCAAACUGCUGAAACACAAUUAAAACUCUGUGUACACCUGCCCAUGGUUUGCUUGGAGAAGCUGCAAACACUUCAGUUACAGGAUACAAAAUCGGAGCAGAAGAAUUAAGUCUGGAGAGGAAGACCAGUCUUGUUCAUGAAGAAUUUGGGGACUGUGUUGAAAUUCUACUGUAGGGGCGCCUGGGUGGCUCAGUGGGUUAAGCCUCUGCCUUUGGCUCCGGUCUUGGUCUCAGGGUCCUGAGAUUGAGCCCCACAUCCGGCUCUCUGCUCGGCGAGGAGCCUGCUUUCCUGAUUCGACUAUAAACUCUAGCAAUUGUUUGGGUUCAAAUCUAAGAGACCGCUAAUGACAGACUUGUCAACAGCCCAGAGACCAAAGGUCAGAGUCUUAAUUGGACUUGGUGGAGUCUGUAGCUGACAAGCAAAGGACAGGGGAUAGGUGUGGUGUCUGUCACAGGAAGAAAUACAACUGAAGGCACAUCAAGAAAACAUUCAUGAAUGAGAGCGAUUUUUAGUUGAGUCGAGAUGGAGGAACAGGACUUCGCCACAGAGCAUAGCAUAAUGAGAGACCUGAAGCACGACUAGGCAUUGGCCAAAUGAGGAAGAGGAAAGAAUAUGUCCGACAGAAGGAAGGACCUGUGGAAAGACGUGGCAGAAGGGUCACAGAAGAUCCAGGCUACUGUGAUCAAGGGACUGAAAGAAAACCCAUAGCGCUGGAGUACAGAGAGCAGAGGAAGACCGAGGAGACGAGGUCGAGAAGGUGACGGAGGGUCAGUCAUCUUUGCUUCCCCCAAACGUUGGUCAGUUUAUUUGGAGACAAGCUCUACGUGCCAUCCGUCUGCCCAUGUGUUGGUUCGGGGAAGACGACCCGAUGUGCCUGUGCUGGCAGCGGCUUCACUGCGGACCUCGGGCGAAUCCCCUAGUUUCAACUCCGGUUCCCAUUUGCUUGCUAUUGACUCGGAGGCCAGAGACUUUCUGGGAUUCGUUGUCGAGCAUCGGCUCUACAUCUCCGUAGCUCCAUCGUCUGUAAAACCUCAGCUCUCAGCCUGUCUCAUUCACCACGCCAUUCUCAGUCAGUUUCAACUCCCAAAAAAGUGUUAAAACCAUUUGUUUGUUGGUUCAUUCCUACCCUCAUUUUCGUUAGGGUUAUUGAUUUCUUUCUUUCUUUUUUUUUUUUUUUUUUAAAGAUUUUAUUUAUUUAUUUGACAGGCAGAGAUCACAAGUAGGCAGAGAGGCAGACAGAGAGAGAGGUGGAAGCAGACUCCCCGCAGAGCAGAGAGCCCGAUGUGGGGCUCGAUCCCAGGACCCUGGGAUCAUGACCUGAGCUGAAGGCAGAGGCUUUAACCCACUGAGCCACCCAGGCGCCCCUAUUGAUUUCUUUCUUUUCAUGCUUCUCUACUUCAAGCUCAGGAGAUGUUAAAAUGAAAAUCAUACCUCAUUUGCCCCCUAGGACAAGUGCUAAAAGUAAUUAUUUUUAAUAUCUUAUUUAGCUUGUGCAUAUGUAAAGGAAUUAAGAGACACACAUGAUCUGUUCUAGACAACUUGUUUCUGCUUUUUCUCUUCUGAGUUUGACUUCCCACAGGAACCCAAAUAUAGUCAUUACAUGAUUGUUGAUUUUCUUAACUUUCAUUUUUAAUUUAAUUCUGAGAUUUAUGAUAACUCUGUGGUGCAUCUUUUAAGCCACAUUAAAAUCUUUUUUUUUUUUUUUUACAAAAUGUGGCUCAAAAUGAGAAACUGUAUUUGAA